UGCGCUUGCAGAUCCCAUUCAUUAGUUAUUUAGAAGAGCAAUUGCAUAUUUCAAUACCGCGUCUCUUAUAUCAUGCUGGGGAUGACAACUUGGCUUAAGUGGUGUGAGGGAUAGGUUUGGCAUUUUUGGCACCGUUACUAGAUUUAGAGAACUUAGUCUACUUUUGGUAAUGAUGUUAAGAAUACCCAACAAGCAUUUUUGGCGCCGUUGCCGGGGAAGGUUGAUUACUAAUCAGGAAUGGAAUAAAAGAUUUUGAGUUAUCAUUCGCAUCACUAAUAUGAUUGAGCUUAUCUAUUCUCUCAUACAGUUUUACCCCGAUAUUUUUCUGUUUUAUCUUAUGCUGGGGAAUGUAUGAAUAGAAGACAUCUUCCAGGAAAUUUUGUUGACAAUCCCAAAGCAUUAUUCAAGAAGACGAGAGCUAAGUUCAAGAAGAGAUCAUCAACACUUCAGCAAGAAGCUUCAUCCAAUCAAGAAGAUCACCGGAACUUGUCUUCAGAGUUCGAGGCCAUGGCGAACAAAUCAAUCCGCGAGUUCUCAGCUCCCACUACGGACAACAUCCGCACUGGACCUGCUGCAGAGAUCGACGGCAACUUUGAGCUCAAGCCUGGACUUAUCAACAUGGUGCAAUCCAACCAGUUCUGUGGGAAGGCACACGAAGAUGCUAGUGCUCAUUUACAACACUUCCUGGAGAUUUGCAACACAUUCACCAUAUCAGGAGUUUCCAAAGAUGCUAUACUACUUCGCCUCUUCCCAUUCUCACUGUUAGGAAGAGCGAAGCAGUGGUUCUACGCUUUAAAGGAGAAGAAUACUACGUGGGCACUCUGCUCAACAAACUUCCUGGCAAAGUUCUCUCCCAUGGGCAAGACCAAUGCUCUCCGUGGGAAGAUUACAAGUUUUCAGCAACAAAAUGAUGAAUCUGUUCCAGAAGCAUGGGAGCGCUUUCAAGACUACAUCCUAGAAUGUCCCCAUCAUGGAAUGGAGAGUUGGCUAUUGAUGCAGACGUUUUAUCAUGGGCUCGGCAACAGUGCCCGAGAGACCAUGGAUGCUGCAGCUAGAGGAGCAUUCUUAUCACUUACUAUACCACAAGCCACAGCUCUUGUGGAGAAGAUGGUGUCUAACCAAAGCUGGAAUGAAGAGAGGACCCAGACACGCAAGAGAGGUGGAGGUAUGCAUCACCUGAAGGAGGUAGACAUGCUAUCUGCAAAGCUAGACCUGCUCAUGAAGAAGCUCGACGAUAGAGUUGGAGAUAAGAAGGAAGUUAUGCACAUCUACGACUCUCACAUGACUUGUGAGGAGUGUGGAGACACUGGACACUCAGGCAACCACUGCCCUGAGAUACUUGAGGAUGUGAACUACAUCAACAACAACAACUACUACUACUACAACCGUCCUCAACAAAAUCAAGGUUGGAAUCAAUAAAGGCCUAACUACUUAGGUAAUUAUCAAGGUAACAAUUCUUACAACAAUAAUAAUAAUUUUCCACCUCUGAGAGAGUUAGUGUCUAAUCAAGGAAAGCUAAUGGAUAAUCUAUCUAAGAAAUUGGCAUCUAAUGAUAAAAUACUAGAAAAUAUAAAUAAUAGAAUGGAUAAUUUCUCUACUGCCAUCAAGAAUUAAAUUAGCUUUAAUAAAAUCAUUGAAUCUCAGUUAAAUCAAAUAGCUGCUGUUGUUCCUACUACUAACCCCGGUAUACCAUCACAACCGGAAGGAUUAGAAUCUGCAAAUCUUGUAGACAUGUUUGAUGCAGGUAAUUGGAGUAACCCCGUCACUGAAUUCUCUACUGACCUUGUGCCAGUCAAGAGAGGCGAUCCAGGACGCCCCGUCAUCCCGAUCUCCAUCGGCAUGGUGGACGUCCCAGAAGCACUCUGCUACUUUGGCUCUAGUGUCAACAUUAUACCCAGGGUACUCUAUGAAAAAUUCUUUACAUAUCCUAGAGACAACCAUGUGUUUGCAGUUUGCAGAUCAGACGAUAACUUUUCCAAAAGGAAUAUUGAGGAACCUUUGUGUCUGAGUUGGUACCUUGUAUGCCCCAGCAGACUUCGUAGUGGUAGAGACCGGAAAUGAUGAGAGAGCACCUAUCAUCUUAGGAAGGCCAUUCUUGAACACCACGGGAGCUAUCAUCUACGCUAGUGCUGCCAAGAUCAGUUUCUACGUCAAAGGGAGGAAGGAGACAUUUUUCUUCAAGAACAAGACUGCACAAAUUCCAGAUCAAUCCAGACGUGAGUCAAGGAAGAGGACCAACAGGAGGAACAGGAACAAGCAAGUGUGGACCGAGUCAGCUAAGAUGGUCACUGUAUUUCAUGGAGGCCAAGAUCACCAACUUAAGUCACCGCUUUUGACCAAGAAGGACGACCUAGGAAUGCCAAGCAUCUACUGCUCCAUAAAUGGAUAUAACUUCUAUAAGGCAACUUGUGACACCGGAUCGGGCGUCAACAUAAUGGCCGCAGUCACCUAUCGGCUCUUGUUCAGAACCAUGCCUCUAAGACCAACAUACAUUCUGCUCCAGAUGGCAGAUCAGACGUUUCGAGAAGUUAAAGGAAUAGUAACUGAUGUCCCAGUCAAAAUAGACGAUCACUUUGUCUACACAGACUUUCAAGUUAUUGACAUGGGAGAAGACGAGUAUGAUCCACCCAUCAUCCUUGGAAGACCGUUCCUCAGCACCGUUAAAGCAAUUAUUUACAUUGGAACCGGAGAAGUCCAUAUGCACUUCCCCUCAGAGAAGGUACGCCGUUAUUUUACUGACCCUAACUAUAUCAUUGAAGAAUCUAAGCAGGUCAGAAAGAGACGCAACCGCAACCAGAGGAGGCAGAUCAUCAAGGACGGAUGGGCAGACUAUGAAGGAGAAGUUGUAAGGUCAGAAGACGUAGAGUUUAAACAGAAUUAUCCAGAAGCACCAAGACAGGUGUGGAAAAUGAAGAUAACUAUACAUGAAGAGGAGGCGCUACCGGAAGUACCGACUACGCCACCCAACGAACCUCAGGACAAUUGAGAAAACGGAGUCCCGUUCGGAGGACUUAAAAACACCGAACGCCUUGCCAAGAGGUAAACUUGGUAGUUAUCCUUUCCCUUUCAAUUAUGUCAAUUAGUUUACUUAGUUAAUCAUGUUCGUGCUAUCCUAAAAAGAAAAAUAAAAAUGUGAAAAACAGUAAGCCCCAUGUGAGUAGACGAGUGGCAUAAAACCCAUAAGUACAUUCACUGUGGUGGCAUAAAAAUAAAAUAAAUAUUUCUUUUCUGCUUUAUAAAAUGAAAAUAUAAAAACAAGAAGUAACAAUUAUUAAGGAGUCUCAACAUGAUAAAGGCUAGAUAUUUAUGCUAACACUUAAUCAGUUCCACAAGCUUUGUCGUCUAUUUGAGCUCCACAGAAUUUAAGAAUCAAGAAGACUAGCAGACGGAGGACAUUCUAAUCGCUGUCAGAAUGCUGCUGACUUUCAAAUACACCUCUGCCACCUGCUAGCUACAUCAAGAGAAAUUACGUCAAAAUUCAGCUUGGGAGAGAGCACCCCCAUUUAUCUCGAUAAGUAUUUUUAUCUAUCUAUCUUUAUGCUUAUACUAUAUUAAAAUAUAAAUAUAACUAUGGAAAACCAAAUAAAGAUUUUGUGCUUAUAUAUAUAUAUAUAUAUAUAUAUAUAUAUCUUUUGCUUAGUGUGUUUAAUAAAUAAAUAAAGUGGCUAUGCUAAUCUGUAUCUAAAUAAAACUUAAGCAUGGAUAUGAUGAAUAGUUGCUCUGCCUAAUUUGCACAUUUUAAGUUCUCUCUCAAGUUUAGACAUAACUGUUAUAAUUUAAAGCUUGCUCUAGACCUAAACUUGUGGGAUGAAAACUUGAUCUGAAGUCUAAGUUGUUAAUGGAUACGAUAUGGGAAGGUUGAGCUGUUGUUUAUCUGUUCCUAGAGAUGCUAGAAUUCUGGAGAAUUUUAUUUUUAAAAAUCUUUAAAAUGUUGCAUGAUGAGUUCCUGUAUGAUGAGAGUUUAAAUUCCUACCACAGCCAUAUAUACAUGCUUAUUAGACUUUGAGCCACACAUUUACUAUUUACUGCUUAUGAGCAUUGAGUGUGGUCAAGCUGUGUAGAUCCUUAGGAGCUUGUCAUGUGGUUAAAUCAAGAUUUCACUUGCACGUUCACUCAUAUAUGCUACUUCUACUCCGGAAGUACCAUCCACAUAUAUCAAUCCAUUUCCAUCUCCAGAAUCACCCAAAAAUAUUCUACUCCUAAUCCAGGAGAGAAUAGCCAAAAAUAUUUCUGUUUUCCCUUAUGAAAUAAAUGCUCAAGUUAUCUUGUUACUACCACUUGCUAUAUUAUCUCAUGAGAUGAGUGCUCUACAAAAAAAAGAAGGAAUACAAGGAAAUAAAAAGGAGCAAGUGCUCGGAACCUCAAAAGAAAAGAAAAAAGUGAGACGAGAGGUAAAAAUAGACAAGUGUCCGACAGUAGAAUUAGAGGUACAAGAUACCCACCUGAGAGAAAAGAAAAAGAAGAGCAUCUCAUUCUCCUCAUAAAGUUUCAAAAAGCAAGGAAGGUAUGUAUCCCCUCAAAGAGCAAAGUAGAAUUAGACUUCCACCACCAUUGUUUCCACCAUUGUUAUCACCAUCAUCACCAUACACCGUUCAUUCGCCACACAUGCACAUCUUGAUUUGGCUUAUUGAUUUGUUUCUUUAGAUCCAUAGUUUGACUAUACAAUAAAUGUCUUAUAAGUAUAUAUAUUUUAUUUCCUACCUAUGAGCUCCAGAUAUUAAAGCCUUAUUAGAGUAGGGUGAGAGAGAAGGCAAUGUCACUAUGCCUUAUACCACAAAUACUACAUAUCUUGAGAGAAGGCAUAUACCAUCACUACCUUGGUAAGGAUCCAGAAAUACCAUAAAAGAGAGAUCUAAGAGAAUCAUACAAAGAAUUUCUGAGUUUUAUUUGAAAAUCUAAAAAAAACACCAGAGCUAUAGCUGAUCAAGAAUAAGAGACAUGGCACUUGACUAGACUGUUCUAUCUUUUAACCACUCAAGACAGAAGUGACGGUUACAAGUCCCAUGGUGAAGGUAAAGUAAGUAAGUUUUAAGUCUUGACAGUUUACUCUAACUCAGAGAUGAGAUGUUAUUUAAAAAGCUUGUGUACCGUCAAAUUUUUAAAAAUAUUGCAACAACUUAUGAUCCAUAGUUGAGUUUAUCCUUGCUCAGGGACGAGCAAGAGGUAAGCUUGGGGGAGUUUGUUGACGGUCCUUAAGUAUCAAAUUUAAUUAUCAAAUAAAUAAAGAAAAUGAUCUAAAUGAAAUCAACAUCUAGACUUAGGGUUUUAUCUAACAGAAUUCCACGAGUUUUGGUGUUUGUCUAUUUCUGCAGGGGGUUAUCAGGAAAUACGGAAGAAAGGCCCACACGUCAGAAUUACAUAGAGAUAUUAACGUGCCGCGCAAUUAUCUUACAUCUAGAAGACUCCAGAAGCCACGAGACCGAAGCGGAGGCGAAACGGGGCCAGAGGCAGGGCGCCCGCCCUGUUCCCCUGGGCGCCCGCCCACCUCUGGAGUCCAAUCAGGACUCUGCUUCGUGGGAGAUCUCCACCGACCUAAAGGAUGAAUCUAAACCAUACAAUCUAUGUCGGUUUGAUCCAACGACCCAUAUUCACUUGAAGGGACUAUAAAACCAGACCCCCUGGCCCCUAGAGGAGAGAGCCUCUCAACCCUAAUUCAUUGUUCCUCAAGGGAGAAGAAGCCUCUGAUCAAGAUUAGAGCCACCACAUCAAUUAGAUAUCUAGAUUAGCAUAGCUACAUAGGAUUAGAACUAGAAGGAGUCAAUCUUCGAUUGGUUUCCGGAUCUGUCAAGAGGAUUCUUGGUAAUUCUCUAAUUGUGCUUCUAAUUGCUUUCUAAUUAUCUUUGUUCUUCAAUAUUAUGAAUAUGACUUUGUUCUACUUCAAUAUAUUACUUAUGACUUUGCUCUAUUUGCUUAUAUUCAAGAUUAUAUUGUUCUUAGUUUAUCAUAGUUAUGUACUUGGCUUAGUUAGAUUGGAUCUAUAUACAUGCUUAGGAUCGUAUAGCGUUUAUCCAUCGGAUCCAUGGGUAAAUGAUAGAUAUUGUGUAGGCGUGGUGCUUAUACCGUAUUUAUCUACGAUUGUACCCAAUAUGUCAGAUCGUGGGGUGGUUCGUGAUAGUGACAGCUUCAUUGAUUCUUAUAUAGUCCCCCUCUCGUGUAUUGGGCUGGCAGAGCAACAUUAUUACAGGGGAGUGAUUGCUAUGUUUCUCAUAUUCCUUGCUAAUAUCACUAUGCAUGGGUGUAGUCUUGUCUCACAAUGAUUGCUAAGUAUGCUUGCACUAACUAUGAUAAUGCUAGACUAUAUAGUUGAGAAUAACUUAGGGAAUAUUCUUGUAGUUCGUUCUAAUACCAUGCUAAUGAAUUUCUAGAGUAUCUAAUUGAGGUGCUUAUCAUAUUUAUUAUGUGGCUAGAUCAGAUUAAUUAUCUUUGUCACUAUUAUUACUUCAUAUAUCUUUUAUGUGACACUUAUCCCUGUAUGAAGAGUUAGAUAUAAUGUUCUCAAUUAUACAUGCAAUGAUAGAUGCUCAAUCUCAUAUUCUAUUCUGUAAUCAAUAGUGAUGAUUGCUGAUCCCUUCCCAGUGGUAAAAAUAUAAAUAACGGUACCUGGAAUACUUCCCGGUUAAAAUGCUACAUCGGUAUUAAUCUGUGCGCUUGCAGAUCCCAUUCAUUAGUUAUUUAGAAGAGCAAUUGCAUAUUUCAAUACCGCGUCUCUUAUAUCAUGCUGGGGAUGACAACUUGGCUUAAGUGGUGUGAGGGAUAGGUUUGGCAUUUUUGGCACCGUUACUAGAUUUAGAGAACUUAGUCUACUUUUGGUAAUGAUGUUAAGAAUACCCAACAUUCUUUUCUUUGUUUCUUGUCGGGACUGCUCUGGAAUUUGUGUAGCCUUGUUCUUGAAGGAAAACAUCUCCUUCCUCCCUUUGAUGUAGAAACUGAUCUUGGCAGCACUAGCGUAGAUGACAGCUCCCGAGGUGUUUAAGAAUGGCCUCCCUAAGAUGAUAGGUGCCCUCUCAUCAUUACCGGUCUCUAUCACCACGAAGUCUGCUGGGGCGUACAAGGUACCAACUCGGACGUAGAGGUUCUUCAAUAUUCCCUUUGGGAAACUUAACGCCUGAUCUGCAAACUGCAAACACAUGGUUGUUUCUAAUAAAGGAUAUGUAAAGAAUUUUUCAUAGAGUACCCUGGGCAUAAUGUUGACACUAGAGCCAAAGACGCAGAGUGCUUCUGGGAAGUCCACCAUGCCGAUGGAGAUCGGGAUGACGGGGCGUCCUGGAUCGCCUCUCUUGACCGGCAAAAGGUCAGUAGUAACUUCAGUGACGGGGUUACUCCAGUACACUAGUACAGGGAAGGGCUUUAGCCCCGGGCCGUAAGCGCCUUUAGUCCCGGCUACGGAACCGGGGCUAAGGUUUCGGGACUAAAUGUCCCACCUUUAGUCCCAGUUCCGUGGACCGGGACUAAAGGUCCACCUUUAGUCCCGGUCAGUAACAGCAACCGGGACUAAAAGGUGCGCCAGGGUGUGCCACCUGGCCUCCACUUUUAGUCCCGGUUGUUGCUACCAACCGGGACUAAAGACUUUUUUCUUUUUUCUUUUUUCUUUUUUCUUUUUCUUUUCAUUUGGUUUUCCAUUUAGGGUUUACAAUUAUGUUAUUGUUAUUUUCGAAUGCGUAUUGUUUGCUGGUAGUUUAUGGAACACGCACCUAUAAUUUAUAUAAUUUAAAGGAUUACAUAUAAAUAUACUAUAAAACACUAUAUAUAUAUAAAUAAUAUGUAUCUAUAGGUCCAUAAUAAAAUAUUUACACAUAUGCUUCAUGGACAAAGUAUUUACAACACAAUUUAUCUCCACCACUCAAGCAUCGUACAAAUGAUCAUCGUUAUUUGGUUUCAUCUGCUCCUGAGGGUUGAAGUAGCACUCGCCGCCGGAAUCCAGGACUUGGUCGUUAAGAAAUCCUGCGAUUGUCUCCUGAAUUCUUUUUAGGCGCACCGCAUCCAACACCUGCUCCUUCAGCCACAUCUCCUUUAAUAGACAUUAAAGAAAAAAGUUAGAGGUAUGAAUAGGAUUUAUUAAAUAGCAACAAAUAAAUGAAAUAUACUUAUUAUAUAUACAUGUUACAUACUUUUAGGUGCUCAAGAUUAGUUCUUUUGGCAUACACCGUCAUAAACUCGCACACAUAGUAGCCACACAAAUUGUUGCCCGGUGUCUGCCGUAGAACCCACUGAAGUAAGAUGGGCUUUGAAAGUGAUGCAUUCAACUCUGGACGGUGUUUCUGCACGAACCCAGCCCAAACUAUAGCAAUAAAACGAUCAUUAUUAAUUAUCCAUUACCAAGUUAAAAGAGCAGAAUUUAAUAUAUAGAGAUCGGAGUUACCCUUGGAUAAUAUCUAUCAUUUCUUGGUAAUCAUCCUGUGGUUUUCUCAAUGAGUCAUAGAUUACCAAUUGACAUUGCCAGAGAUCAAUGACAAUUAGUAUCCAAUGAAAGCUGCAUUUGUGUGCAUAUGUAGGCAAAAUUAGUAUAUAUCUUCAUAUUGAUCUGAUUAAUUAGUUAAAUAGAAUGUACACACGAUAACGACACUUACUUAAAGUUGUAGGGAAAGAGUAUAUAUCUUUUAUCUUUUUGGUUGAUCAAGAACCUCCGUAGAUUUCUCUCCGUUUGAGUU
This 8648-nucleotide long non-coding RNA is filed under the name Sorghum bicolor (sorghum). RNAcentral describes it as "long non-coding RNA (SBIC_LNC001294)". The record is from RNAcentral. Lineage: Eukaryota; Viridiplantae; Streptophyta; Magnoliopsida; Poales; Poaceae.